UACGGGGGGGGCAAGCGUUGUUCGGAAUUACUGGGCGUAAAGGGCGCGUAGGCGGUUCGCUAAGUUGGAUGUGAAAACUCUGGGCUUAACCCAGAGCCUGCAUCCAAAACUGGCGAACUGGAGUACUGGAGGGGAAAGCGGAAUUCCUGGUGUAGCGGUGGAAUGCGCAGAUAUCAGGAGGAACACCGGUGGCGAAGGCGGGUCUCUGGGCAGUAACUGACGCUGAGGAGCGAAAGCGUGGGGAGCGAACAGG
This 253-nucleotide ribosomal RNA is filed under the name uncultured bacterium. RNAcentral describes it as "partial 16S ribosomal RNA". It matches the Rfam family "Bacterial small subunit ribosomal RNA", at positions 524 to 776 of the family's 1533-position model. The record is from RNAcentral.